UCGAGAAUUUUUCUCAAUGGGCGAAAGCCUGAAGGAGCGACGCCGCGUGGGGGAUGAAUGGCUUCGGCCCGUAAACCCCUGUCAUUUGUGAACAAAUUGCUUCACCUAACACGUGAAGCAUUGAUAGUAACGGAAGAGGAAGGGACGGCUAACUCUGUGCCAGCAGCCGCGGUAAUACAGAGGUCCCAAGCGUUGUUCGGAUUCACUGGGCGUAAAGGGUGCGUAGGCGGUUGGAUAAGUCUGACGUGAAAUCUCCGGGCCUAACCCGGAAACUGCGUUGGAAACUAUUUGACUAGAGGAUUGGAAGGGAGACUGGAAUACUUGGUGUAGCAGUGAAAUGCGUAGAUAUCAAGUGGAACACCAGUGGCGAAGGCGAGUCUCUGGACAAUUCCUGACGCUGAGGCACGAAAGCCAGGGGAGCAAACGGGAUUAGAUACCCCCGUAGUCC
Molecule: ribosomal RNA, 448 nt
Filed under: uncultured bacterium
Lineage: Bacteria
Description: bacterial SSU rRNA
Rfam family: Bacterial small subunit ribosomal RNA
Source: RNAcentral